Podarcis lilfordi (Lilford's wall lizard) is the source of this 143-nucleotide non-coding RNA. NCBI's taxonomy places the organism in Eukaryota, Metazoa, Chordata, Lepidosauria, Squamata, Lacertidae. The record is from the annotation of a GenBank genome assembly.
ACUCCACCUGCCCACGACUCCCAAGCCUACCCCAAGCCGUCAGGUUAAGGGGGGGAGCUGCGCAGGUUUGCCAGCGGCAUUCCUCCCUUCCCCCUUCGUUUUGACAGCUUGGGGGAGGCUUGGGAGUUGUGGGUGGGUGGUGU